AAAGUGGUAUUUUGUCUUUUGAAGACUCUGGUCCUAAUGUGCAAGCUAAUCUGUUUCCUAAACAUGGUGGUGCAACUAUGAAUAUGGUUGAAGGAUGUCCUGGAAAGUAUCGUGUCUUUGAGGUCAAUCUGAUUAGAAGAUCCUUGAUCGAGAUACAUGCAACUUUGUGCGAGCUGAGUUAUUACGAGCACAAUCAUGUUUCUUUCCAUAUCUAUUCAAGAAACCCUUUAGGGUGUGUUGUGGUAAAGAGAGAUUUAC
This 258-nucleotide long non-coding RNA is filed under the name Lathyrus oleraceus (garden pea). RNAcentral describes it as "Pisum sativum (pea) long non-coding RNA (PSAT_LNC006250)". The record is from RNAcentral. Lineage: Eukaryota; Viridiplantae; Streptophyta; Magnoliopsida; Fabales; Fabaceae.